AGCAAAUGAUGUCUAUUUCACGAUGGUCUUCAGAUGCCCACCCUGGGCAGUGCUGAGAAGGCCACUUGGCACAACUGAUGCUGGAAG
Small nucleolar RNA from Bison bison bison, 87 nucleotides. The record is from Ensembl. NCBI's taxonomy places the organism in Eukaryota, Metazoa, Chordata, Mammalia, Artiodactyla, Bovidae.